CACUGAAAGGUAUACGUUUCCGCUGGGUGUUUAUACAUUUCAAAGUUAAAAGCAUACACCUUACCCAAAGUUUCAGAAAUCUGGUUUGCAAAUCUGAGUUCAUGUGUGUGUGUGUUUUUUUUUAAAGCCAUGAUCAUUUUUUAGUUUUUCUGCUUUACUCAUUCCUUUGACAGCAUUAAUUUGUGAACAUUUAUAUUCAGUUCAGCUGUAUUUAUGGCACAAGA
Molecule: long non-coding RNA, 224 nt
Filed under: Pan troglodytes (chimpanzee)
Lineage: Eukaryota; Metazoa; Chordata; Mammalia; Primates; Hominidae
Description: long non-coding RNA NONPTRT004027
Source: RNAcentral